UACGUAGGGGGCAAGCGUUGUCCGGAAUCAUUGGGCGUAAAGAGCGUGUAGGCGGCCCGAUAAGUCCGCUGUGAAAGUCCAGGGCUCAACCCUGGAAUGCCGGUGGAUACUGUCGGGCUCGAAUCCGGAAGAGGUGAGUGGAAUUCCUGGUGUAGCGGUGAAAUGCGUAGAUAUCUGGAGGAACACCGGUGGCGAAGGCGGCAUCCUGGACCGGUAUUGACGCUGAGGCGCGAAAGCUAGGGGAGCAAACGGG
Molecule: ribosomal RNA, 253 nt
Filed under: uncultured bacterium
Lineage: Bacteria
Description: partial 16S ribosomal RNA
Rfam family: Bacterial small subunit ribosomal RNA
Source: RNAcentral